Molecule: unclassified non-coding RNA, 302 nt
Filed under: fungal sp.
Lineage: Eukaryota; Fungi
Description: partial contains small subunit ribosomal RNA, internal transcribed spacer 1, and 5.8S ribosomal RNA
Rfam family: Eukaryotic small subunit ribosomal RNA (bases 1-47)
Source: RNAcentral
AAAGUCGUAACAAGGUAACCGUAGGUGAACCUGCGGUUGGAUCAUUAACAAAAAAAAAUUGGAAAGCUUUUUUGAAUACUCUUCGGAAAAGCUUUUUAAAACACCAAUUGUGAACUUGUAUUAUUGUUUCUUUUCUGUGGUAUUUCAAAAGACUGGUUUGCCGCUAGUUUUUUGAUGCCCAGAAAAAACUUUUUUAAACUUAAAGAUUAUACCAUUUUGACCAUUAAAUAAAAGUUUGAAAUUUUUUUUAAACAUUAAAUAAAUUAAAAAAACAACUUUUGGCAACGGAUCUCUAGGCUCUU